This 244-nucleotide unclassified non-coding RNA is filed under the name Hevea brasiliensis (rubber tree). The record is from RNAcentral. Lineage: Eukaryota; Viridiplantae; Streptophyta; Magnoliopsida; Malpighiales; Euphorbiaceae.
GCCCGUUUGCCCCGCUCAAAAGUCCGUAUUGACACGUGCGCCCUCAUGCGGUCACCAGCGCAGCGCUAAUAAUUUAAAGCUCCAGCUACGCGGCCAUUGAUGACAAAAGAAAUGCUAUCUUUUAUUGCGAUGUCGCGAUACUGGAGGUCUAUCGCAUCAACGGUGCAAAUGGUGCCACGAUGAAAACACCAUGGUGGGCUCAAUCAUUAAUUGGGGUUUGUAAAAUGACCAUUUUGUGAUCAAG